GAAAGAGUCUUCCUUAGGUGGAAUCGACAUACACACUUCAUUUGCUUACAAAAAAGAAGGGAUUGAGGUUUUGAUCCAAACCAAGAGGAGAGUUGAUUUUCAAGUGUAGGUUUUGUGACUCGACUAAAAAAAUAAGCUCAUUUCUAUAGGAAAGACUCCAUGAAGAUCGACAUAAUGUCAAUUAAUAAAUCAUGUAACUGGUAAAUAUUCAUUACUUUAUUUUUUUAGAAACUGGUCAUUGUUGCGAGGGAAUUCAACUAUUUCGAAACAUCUAAACCUCUUCUACUUUAAAAAUGAGAUAUAUUUUAGUGCCUGAUGUGCUUGACAAUGUCAUCUGCCUGUAGCUUAAGACAUCAAAAUUAGAAAGUUCUCUUA
Long non-coding RNA from Tripterygium wilfordii, 375 nucleotides. RefSeq lists it as uncharacterized. The transcript is spliced from 2 exons. NCBI's taxonomy places the organism in Eukaryota, Viridiplantae, Streptophyta, Magnoliopsida, Celastrales, Celastraceae. The record is from RefSeq and is a predicted model, not a curated record.